GGGCCCGCACAAGCGGUGGAGUAUGUGGUUUAAUUCGAUGCAACGCGAAGAACCUUACCAGGGUUUGACAUCCUGCGAAUCUCUUGGAAACGAGAGAGUGCCUUCGGGAACGCAGUGACAGGUGGUGCAUGGCUGUCGUCAGCUCGUGUCGUGAGAUGUUGGGUUAAGUCCCGCAACGAGCGCAACCCACAUCCCUAGUUGCCAGCAGUUCGGCUGGGCACUCUAUGGAAACUGCCCGUGAUAAGCGGGAGGAAGGUGUGGAUGACGUCAAGUCCUCAUGGCCCUUACGGGUUGGGCUACACACGUGCUACAAUGGCAUCUACAGUGGGUUAAUCCCCAAAAGAUGUCUCAGUUCGGAUUGUCGUCUGCAACUCGACGGCAUGAAGUCGGAAUCGCUAGUAAUCG
Molecule: ribosomal RNA, 405 nt
Filed under: uncultured bacterium
Lineage: Bacteria
Description: bacterial SSU rRNA
Rfam family: Bacterial small subunit ribosomal RNA
Source: RNAcentral